UUCUUAUUAGAUGAUGACUAUCACGUUUCAUGUUCUGAUUGGAUGUCAACUCCAUGAAAGAUGAAAUGAAUUGUUGUUGUCCUUGGCCAAUCAGAACAUGACAUGUGACAUUCAUCAUCC
This is a non-coding RNA of Glycine soja, 120 nucleotides long. NCBI's taxonomy places the organism in Eukaryota, Viridiplantae, Streptophyta, Magnoliopsida, Fabales, Fabaceae. The record is from Rfam.